Molecule: unclassified non-coding RNA, 148 nt
Organism: Macaca fascicularis (crab-eating macaque)
Lineage: Eukaryota; Metazoa; Chordata; Mammalia; Primates; Cercopithecidae
Rfam family: Metazoan signal recognition particle RNA
About the family: The signal recognition particle (SRP) is a universally conserved ribonucleoprotein. It is involved in the co-translational targeting of proteins to membranes.
Source: Ensembl
GCUGGGCAUGGUGGCGCAUGCCUGUAAUCCCAGCUACUCAGGAGGCUGAGGCAGGAGAAUCGCUUGAACCCAGGAGGCGGAGGGUGCAGUGAGUCCAGAUCAUGCCAUUGCACUCCAGCCUGGGCAACAGAGAGAGGCCCUGUCUCAA